Molecule: long non-coding RNA, 572 nt
Organism: Brienomyrus brachyistius
Lineage: Eukaryota; Metazoa; Chordata; Actinopteri; Osteoglossiformes; Mormyridae
Exons: 3
Source: RefSeq, a predicted model, not a curated record
CAAUUAAAGAAAGAAGCGUCGAAAUUCCUGUAUAAACCUGGGGCCAUUUCCCACAUCCAUGGGCUGGAAGACCUUUCUUCCGAAAUACGAUCGGAAUGAAGCCAUGAGUAAGAGCACCGGGUCACACCACCAUGACUAGCAGGCAAAGCCUUCUCCUGCUUUCCACAGGAACAAGUCGGCACACACGGACAUCAUUUGAGGUUGUGUUGGACAGGAAGUGCAUCCUGCAGGCCUCUUUUUCCCAGAACAAACAACCUUGAGUAAACAGCGUCUUUACUGGGGGGUUGGCAACUACCUUUAACAUGCUGAGGUUUGUCCUGCCAUUAAAGAGAUUCAGCAGGCUGAACAAGCUGAUGGUGUCGGGUGAUUCAGGGGCUUACCCAACAAUGGGAGUGACGCAGCAAGUCACGAUAAACAAGAUAAGGAUAGACCUUACAGUAGGAGCUGGUGAGCUGGCACGGGCACGGCACCAGAACUGGUUGAUCGGCUUUUCCAAGGCAACUGACUCCCAUCUCUGUGCCUAUAGUGGCUCAACUAAUAACACCCAGCUGGUACAGGCUGAUCUAACUGAG